This 1087-nucleotide long non-coding RNA is filed under the name Chinchilla lanigera (long-tailed chinchilla). RNAcentral's name for it is "lncRNA (ENSCLAG00000026919.1)". The record is from RNAcentral. Lineage: Eukaryota; Metazoa; Chordata; Mammalia; Rodentia; Chinchillidae.
AUGCACCUUUCUUCUUACUACAACCUCUCUAAUGAGGUCAGGUGUAGAACUGUCCACUUGUGGUAUCAUUAUGAUGUCACUCUCAAAAAGUUUCAAAGUUUGGAGAAUGGUAUGGUUUGGAAUGUUGGGUUAGAGAUGUACAACCUAUACUUGAUGAUGCUACCAAGUUCUCCAUCAGUUUGGCUGAAAACACUCUCUGUUGCCUGACAUUCCUGGUUUGCCGGAGUCUGCCAGCUGUUCUCAGCCUCUCCAGGGCGUCUCCUUUUGAAAUGGAAGCGUGCACGUGAUGCCCUGUUGCAAAGGUCUUGGAUGGCUUCCCAAGAAGUAUGGCCAGCCACUCAGCACAGCUGCCAGGUUCCUGACAUGUAGCUUAGACCCUCUGAGGUAGGCAGAGUGAUAGUCCCCAAAGACCUUAGCUCCUAAUCCCUAGAACCUUACUGGGACAAAAGGGAUUUCUGUAGAUGUGAUUAAACUAAGGAUUUUUAAAAAGUUAGUGUGUGCUUGCAAUGUAGAAUAGUGAUGUUCAUUUGGGGGAACUGGUGUAGGCAUAUAACAAAUCAAUCAUUUUUUUAUCUUUUACCCCCUCUCUCCUUCCUUCCUUCUGGCCUGAUUCUCCUCCCCCAUCUCUAAAAGUCUGCCUUCUUAUUUCCUACCAUCUCUCUUUUGUUUGUUUAUACUUUAGGUUUCUCAUAUAAAAGAAAACAUGCAAUAUUUAACUUCCCAUGUCUGCCUCUUUCAUUUGCAUUAGGGCCUCAAGUUCCUUGCAUUUUCCUGCAAAUGAUGAUUUCAUUCUUCUUUAUGGCUGAAUAAUAUUCCACUGUUUAUUUGUACCACACUUUCUUUAUCCAUUAAUUUGCUGAGUUUCAAGGCUGUUUCCAGAGCUCAAGUAUCAUGAAUGGUACCAUUACAAACAUGGGUGUAAAUAUAUCACUCUAGUAUGAUAUCUUUAACUUUUGGGGGAAUAUACCCAGAAAAAGUGUAUCUGAGUCAAAUGGAAUUUCUGCUUUUGAUCUCUUGAGGACUCUCCAUACUGAAUUCCAUGGUAGUACUAGUUUUCAUUUCCACCAACAGUAUAGUAGGGCUCCUU